This is a non-coding RNA of Schizosaccharomyces pombe (fission yeast), 317 nucleotides long. NCBI's taxonomy places the organism in Eukaryota, Fungi, Ascomycota, Schizosaccharomycetes, Schizosaccharomycetales, Schizosaccharomycetaceae. The record is from the annotation of a GenBank genome assembly.
UUUAUUUUCAAUGAUAAAAAUUAUUCUAAUUUCACUAUAUAAAAAUGCUCAUGGAUAAUUUCCACAACUUCUAAUGGACCUAUGGAAUGGUGAUGCUAUAGUUUAUUUCACGAAAAAACAGCUAGAACUUUUAAGGCUCCAUUCAGCAACUUUAUAUACUAAGUAAAUCCUUAUAAGUUAAAAGCGAUAAAAGGAUUUUACAUAAAAACACUUUGCUUCAUUUAUUUACUGGAGAAAUACUUCCCGUUAAUGCAAAUCGGCAAACACCGUAUUUGCAUAUUGCACAGUUUAAUAGAGCACGAUAUUAAAAUGUUGGU